This 974-nucleotide ribosomal RNA is filed under the name Taenia solium (pork tapeworm). RNAcentral's name for it is "bacterial SSU rRNA". It matches the Rfam family "Eukaryotic small subunit ribosomal RNA", at positions 924 to 1613 of the family's 1831-position model. Lineage: Eukaryota; Metazoa; Platyhelminthes; Cestoda; Cyclophyllidea; Taeniidae. The record is from RNAcentral.
ACCGUAGCCAGACAAACUAAAGCGAAAGCAUUCGUCAAGCAUGUUUUCAUUGGCCAUGAGCGAAAGUCAGAGGCUCGAAGACGAUCAGAUACCGUCCUAGUUCUGACCAUAAACGAUGCCAACUGACGAUCCGUGGUGGUAGUAAUGUUACCUUCCCCACGGGCAGUCCCCGGGAAACCUUUAAGUGUUUGGGUUCCGGGGGAAGUAUGGUUGCAAAGCUGAAACUUAAAGGAAUUGACGGAAGGGCACCACCAGGAGUGGAGCCUGCGGCUUAAUUUGACUCAACACGGGAAAACUCACCCGGGCCGGACACUAUGAGGAUUGACAGAUUGAGAGCUCUUUCUUGAUUUGGUGGUUGGUGGUGCAUGGCCGUUCUUAGUUGGUGGAGCGAUUUGUCUGGUUAAUUCCGAUAACGAACGAGACUCCAGCCUGCUAAUUAGUGCGUUUGUCCACUGCACCUGCGUAGGUGACGUCGGAUGACACCACCUGUCACGAGGGCGUGGCUUCCACUUUUGCCUCUGCUUUUCCGCUCAAAUGCCCCCCUAGCGCCUCGUCCUCGUCCUCGUCCUCCUCCUCCUCCUCCUUCUUCAGCGCCUCUCCCGGCUGGCUGGCUGGGCGAGGUGGUGGUGGUGGUGGUGGCGGUGAGGAUGAUGGUGAGGUUGGAGGCGGUGCAGGUGGGCGAGUGGAUUGUGGCGGAGGUGAGGGAUGGAGUCCGGCGUUUGUGGCCGGUUAGUCUGGCGUUGGCUGCGGGUGUGGCGCGAAUGCCUACUUCUUAGAGGGACAAGCGGGAGAAGCCGCACGAAAUAGAGCAAUAACAGGUCUGUGAUGCCCUUAGAUGUCCGGGGCCGCACGCGCGCUACAAUGACGGUGUCAGCGAGUCAGACCUUCUGGCCCGAAAGGGUUGGGCAAACUGGUCCAAUCACCGUCGUGACAGGGAUCGGGGCUUGGAAUUGUUCCCCGUGAACGAGGAAUUC